Molecule: ribosomal RNA, 537 nt
Filed under: Aedes albopictus (Asian tiger mosquito)
Lineage: Eukaryota; Metazoa; Arthropoda; Insecta; Diptera; Culicidae
Description: partial 18S ribosomal RNA
Rfam family: Eukaryotic small subunit ribosomal RNA (bases 1-108)
Source: RNAcentral
GUCCCUCGGGAUUACAUUUGAAUCGCUGAAGUUGACCGAACUUGAUGAUUUAGAGGAAGUAAAAGUCGUAACAAGGUUUCCGUAGGUGAACCUGCGGAAGGAUCAUUACUGUACUGGUACUUGUAUCCAAGAGAGCGAAAAACAGAUCGAACGUGCGUCUGAUGCCGCGCGCGGCCCCGCCCGACAAGGCAAUAUGUCCCGGUGCUGGGGCUGCGCAGGGCAUGGCCAACCUCUACCCCGUUACCCGAGUGUUUUUUUUCCGAGGACCCUCCCCCGAGUUCCCUGAUCGGAGGGAACGGAAAGCUGCGCAAUGUCCGUACCCGUGCCCUAAUAGUUGUGGGUGUGAUACGGAUUGGACUUGCCCCGACCCGACCCCGGGGCCAAGGCCGAACCCGGCACGGGGACCCGCUUUGGUUUUACUUUUUUAAAUGGCAGGUCGGCGCACUGCCACUUCGGUGGUGGCGGGGGGCCGCCGAACAACAAAAAAGGAAAAGGAAUAGUUUUGUUGCUGUUACUCUUACCCAAACCCAAACCCUA